CUUAGCUGAUAUAUUUUGAUUUUCCCAUGAUGCCAAGCAAAGAGGCACUGAGUUUGAAGGUAGGCCUUGAAAUAAAUCCACAGGUACACCUCCACCUCCAAAUGAUGUUAAUUAGCCUGUCUGAAGCUUCUAAAGCCAUGACAUCAUUUUCUGGAGUUUUCCAAGCUGUUUAAAGGCACAGUCAACUUAGUGUAUGUACACUUCUGACCCAAUGGAAUUGUGAUACUUUGAAUUGUAAGUGAAAUAAUCUGCCUGUAAACAAUUUUUGGAAAAGUGACUUGUGUCAUGCACAAAGUAGAUGUCCUAACUGACUUGCCAAAACUAUAGUCUGUUUACAAGAAAUUUGUGGAGUGGUUGAAAAAUGAGUUUUAAUGACUCCAACCUAAGUGUACGUAAACUUCCGACUUUAACGGUAUAUACAUAAGGAAUACAUGCAAGUAGGUUACUAUACAGUGGGGCAAAAAAGUAUUUAGUCAGCCACCAAUUGUGCAAGUUCUCCCACUUAAAAAGAUGAGAUGAAAAAAUGAGAAGAAAACCCUCCCAGAAAAAUCACAUUGUAGGAUUUUUAAUGAAUUUGCAAAUUAUGGUGGAAAAUAAGCAUUUGGUCAAUGACAGAGGUCAAACGUUUUCUGUAAGUCUUCACAAGGUUUUCACACACUGUUGCUGGUAUUUUGGCCCAUUCCUCCAUGCAGAUCUCCUCUAGAGCAGUGAUGUUUUAGGGCUGUUGCUGGGUAACACAGACUUUCAACUCCCUCCAAAGAUUUUCUAUGGGGUUGAGAUCUGGAGACUGGCUAGGCCACUCCAGGACCUUGAAAUGCUUCUUACGAAGCCACUCCUUCGUUGCCCGAGCGGUGUGGUGGGAUCAUUGUCAUGCUGAAAGACCCAGCCACGUUUCAUCUUCAAUGCCCUUGCUGAUGGGAGGUUUUCACUCAAAAUCUCACGAUACAUGGCCCCAUUCAUUUUUUCCUUUACACGGAUCAGUCGUCCUGGUCCCUUUGCAGAAAAACAGCCCCAAAGCAUGAUGUUUCCACCCCCAUGCUUCACAGUAGGUAUGGUGUUCUUUGGAUGCAACUCAGCAUUCUUUGUCCUCCAAACACGACGAGUUGAGUUUUUACCAAAAAGUUAUAUUUUUGUUUCAUCUGACCAUAUGACAUUCUCCCAUUCUUCUUCUGGAUCAUCCAAAUGCUCUCUAGCAAACUUCAGACGGACCUGGACAUGUACUGGCUUAAGCAGGGGGACAC
This is a long non-coding RNA of Oncorhynchus tshawytscha (Chinook salmon), 1241 nucleotides long. The record is from Ensembl. NCBI's taxonomy places the organism in Eukaryota, Metazoa, Chordata, Actinopteri, Salmoniformes, Salmonidae.